UCAGACUGCACGAGAUAAGUUGGGCAGUCAAAAGGGAAAGAGCCCAGACCUUCAGUUAAGGUCCCAAAGUGUGCGUUAAGUGGAAAAGGAUGUGGGAUUUCGAAGACAACCAGGAUGUUGGCUCAGAAGCAGCCAUUCAUUCAAAGAGUGCGUAAUAGCUCACUGGUCGAGUGAAGUUGCGCGGAAAAUUACCGGGGCUAAGCUAUACACCGAAAUUGCGGAUUUACAUUUGAAAGACAAUGUAAGUGGUAGAGGAGCAUUCUGUAGUAGGAAGAAGCAUGACCGUAAGGACAUGUGGACGAAGCAGAAGAGAGAAUGCUGGAAUAAGUAGCGAGAGGAUGGUGAGAAUCCAUCCCGUCGAAAAUCUAAGGUUUCCCAGGGAAGGUUCGUCCGCCUGGGGUAAGUCGGGACCUAAGGAGAGGCCGAAAGGCGUAUCUGAUGGAUAGCAGGUUGAAAUUCCUGCACUACGAAUAUACUUAAAAGAUUCAAGGGACGCAGAAGUGGAAGAUAACCAAGUAAGAGGAAAAGCUUGGCUCGCAAGAGGGAGUGAAAAUUAAAAGUAACGAAGUAUCAAGAAGCACGCUGACGAGAAAAGCUUGAAGAUAUUGUAUAUAAGUACCCGUACCGCAAACCGACACAGGUAGAUGAGGAGAGGAUCCUAAGACGAGCGGGAGAAGCAUUGUUAAGGAACUCGGCAAACUAACCCCGUAACUUCGGAAUAAGGGGUGCUGAUGUAACAGUCAGUCGCAGAGAAAAGGCCCAAGCAACUGUUUAACAAAAACAUAGGUUUCUGCUAAAUCGAAAGAUGAAGUAUAGGAGCUGACGCCUGCCCAGUGCUGGAAGGUUAAGGGAAAGAGUUAGGGUUAAACCGAAGCUUAGAACUGAAGCCCCAGUGAACGGCGGCCGUAACUAUAACGGUCCUAAGGUAGCGAAAUUCCUUGUCAGGUAAGUUCUGACCCGCACGAAAGGCGUAAUGAUUUGGGCGCUGUCUCGACAAUGUCCCCGGCGAAAUUGUAGUACUAGUGAAGAUGCUAGUUACCUGCGAUAAGACAGAAAGACCCCAUGGAGCUUUACUGCAGUUUGAUACUGGGUUUCGAUGAUUUAUGUACAGGAUAGUUGGGAGACUAUGAAAGAGAGGCGUCAGCUUCUCCGGAGUCAUUGUUGGGAUACCAACCUUAAGUUAUUGAAAUUCUAACUUGUAAUCGUAAACCGGUUAGAGGACAAUGUCAGACGGGCAGUUUGACUGGGGCGGUCGCCUCCUAAAGAGUAACGGAGGCGCCCAAAGGUUUCCUCAGCGCGGACAGAAAUCGCGCGAAAGAGUGCAAAGGCAGAAGGAAGCUUAACUGAGAGACAGACAUGUCGACCAGAUACGAAAGUAGGGCUUAGUGAUCCGGUGGUUGUAAAUGGAAAUGCCAUCGCUCAACGGAUAAAAGUUACCCUGGGGAUAACAGGCUUAUCUCCCCCAAGAGUUCACAUCGACGGGGAGGUUUGGCACCUCGAUGUCGGCUCAUCGCAUCCUGGAGCUGAAGUCGGUUCCAAGGGUUGGGCUGUUCGCCCAUUAAAGCGGUACGCGAGCUGGGUUCAGAACGUCGUGAGACAGUUCGGUCCUUAUCUAUCGCAGGCGUAAGAUAUUUGAAGAGUGCUGUCCUUAGUACGAGAGGACCAGGAUGGACAUACCAAUGGUGUAUCAGUUGUCUCACCAGAGGCACGGCUGAGUAGCUAAGUAUGGAUUGGAUAAACGCUGAAAGCAUCUAAGUGUGAAGCCCACCUCAAGAUGAGAUUUCCCAUGAUUUU
This 1794-nucleotide ribosomal RNA is filed under the name human gut metagenome. RNAcentral's name for it is "bacterial LSU rRNA". It matches the Rfam family "Bacterial large subunit ribosomal RNA", at positions 984 to 2823 of the family's 2925-position model. The record is from RNAcentral.